Molecule: RNA transcript, 8846 nt
Organism: Entelurus aequoreus (snake pipefish)
Lineage: Eukaryota; Metazoa; Chordata; Actinopteri; Syngnathiformes; Syngnathidae
Exons: 2
Source: RefSeq, a predicted model, not a curated record
CAUAUGGAAAUAUAGUGUCACUAAUAUAUUCUCCUAUUAUUCAUUUCUAAUCUAUGGUGUGCCAAAGUCACUUUGGUCACUUAAAAAAUGUUAAACUUGAUGUGUCAAAGUCAUGUGGUCACUACAGGGUUAAAUUAAUGAUACAUGCACGCAGCACGUUAUUCACAUGUUGGCCAGUAGAGGUCGCAUGCACCUUUCUCAUUCCAGACAUUCCUUCACUGAACGUCAAAGAGUGAAGGCACGAGUCAUAUCGUUGUGUUACAAAGACAAGGUUUAUAAGUUAAAAUACUUGUCACUCCUCAAACCGAGUGUUGGAAAAGCAGCAUAAGAUAGCCUGGUUCCAGUGGGAGCUGGAUUGCUGUGUUUUGUGCUGCUGAGAACUUCAGUAAGUGUUACUUUGUGAGUGAGGCCUACUAGCAAGCCUGUUAGCCUAGCCAUCCUGUUAGCGCUAAAGAGAGGAGUUUGAUAACAAGACACAGAGUUAAAAUGUACAAAACCAAUUGGAGUAAUAUGAUGUCUUGAGAGAAUGCCCUGUGACAUGUUAGCAUGUUGCAGUUGGAUAACUUUAUUGUAUUUUCGUUUUGUGUAAAAGAGAGGUUUAUUUAAUGUUACUGUGUUCAGCCUUAGCAGUGAGCAGAGGAGCUGCAUUCAUUUCAAUGCUGCUAAAAGCACCCUCGUCAUUCUGCUUAAAGGGGAACUGUUGAUACAUUUCAUUUAUUAAAUUGAUACAGUUAAAAUGAUAACCAUUAUAAUACAUGAUGACCAAAAUGUGAUUUCAGUUAAAUAAUCAUUUAUUUUAUUUUGUGAUGGUUUAAAAAGUGAUAAUUCACAGUUCAUAAUUUAAAGAUAAAAGGGUAAAAAUCCUUAAAUGGAUGUAACUCAUUUCAUUCAUUGAAGUCAUAAGUAAGAGGUGAAGCUACUAUAGUUUUCAUGAUUUGAUGCUGCUGUUAAAGUCUUACAGACUUAUAUGGAGUACAGUGUGAACCGACCAGUAUUCAUAUAUCCAUAACUAAAUGGUUAAAAUGAGUAACUGUGUUUAUUGAUUUAUAAUUGAAGUUAAUAUGGUACCAUAUGGAAGAGAACUAAGAGUAAAAAGAGUAUUCUAACUGAUUACAUUCUGUACUGCUAUGUGCAGAUUGGUUUUUGUAUGAUCCUGAAGUCUGGUUCCAAACUGGACUUGAGUUAUGAUGGCGAGCCAGUCCCAGUGAGUGAGAGUCUGCGGAGAGGGAGCGUGUGGAUGUGGUGUGGCCAGCUGCAUCGGUCUCCACACUCUGCAGCGACCUAUAACUGAACUGAUCCACCAUCAGAGUCGCAAGUAUCGAACCGAAUCAGUAUGGAAUAACGGAUUACAAUAGAACUAAGGAUUCCCAACCAAGGAAUAUAGACAGUGUUCAAUUCAUUACUACCCGGGUAGAAUUUACUUUUUCAAAGGACAAUUUAAAAAGGACAUUUCUUCUAUUUUGCUACUUUUGAAUUUUUGCAACAGAGCUCUAUUUUUAUUUAUUUUUGGGGGGUAUUUACAAUUUAAAAAGCACACUGUUCAUGUGUUAUUGUUUAUUAUUGUGCAAUAAAUUUGCCAGCAGUUGUUCUGUGGUCCACUAAGUACGUAACGUCUCAUUGCGAGUCUCUCAAUUAUACAGCCAAGAACCUAGUAAUCUUAAUUGUUGUACUAACCUGCUAUCCUACAGUAGGGGUGCUACACACUUGGCGAGCCAGCCAGGAGCGCUGUGAUUCCGAAUUCAUACUGUGCGUACAAUACAGAACAGCUCUGGCAACGUUUAUUCACAAAUUUUGUAAUACCUCUGACUUUACACUUGAAAUAUGGAUGUCAUUAAGUCUGAAAACAUUAAGGUACCCAGUUCAGUACUGGUCAGUGGCAUGUCUGGUACUGAAGUAGAUGAGGAGGUAUUUGACUUUUUGAAUCAAUAUGGGUCCAUUGAAAGAGUGGUUAAAAUUGACAGUUCCGAUGCUAAAUUCCCAAAUUCUGCUAUUGUUGAGUUUAAAUCUGGGGAAGGUGUUAGUGUUCUUGCACGUGAUUUACCAUAUAACAGACCUUCUUCAGAUGACAAAAUUACACACUAUGUGCAACUUUUAUCUAGUGUUUAUGCUGCUAAUGCAGGUUCGAACAUAACCAAAUUCUACCUGUGUGAGCUUGAAAGCAUUGCAAAAUUGAGUGGCACAGACUUUGAGAAAAUCCUGCGAGAGGAGUUGGCCAGAAUUCAAGAAAGCAGGCCAGCUCAACGAGAUGAGGAUGUUGAGCACCAAACCCCCUUGUCUACUUCUCACAAGAGUGGAGUUGAACCAGCAUCAGUCCAAACCCCAACUCAGUCCACUCUAAAUAUGAAUGCGGUCCCACUUAGACAAACCCUGCCUAGUGGUGCCAGAUCACCCUUUCAGCUACCACUUGACCAAAUUAACACACCUGAGGUGCAGAGAAUGGUCGUGGAGCAUAUUGUAAAGAGCAGUGACAUGUCGUCAACACACCAUGCCAGGUUGAGGCCUUUCUCUGGGAAAACUCCCUGCCCCAGCCUGGAAGUCGAUUAUGACACUUGGCGUAGUAAUGUCGAGUUCUACUUCAGCGAUUCCACAAUCCCUGACAAGCAAGUGGUCAGAAGGAUUGUAGAAAGUCUCCUUCCUCCAGCUGUAAAUGUUGUAAAGCAUCUUGGGCCCCAGUCGAGCCCACGUGACUAUUUGCAUGCUCUUGACUCAGCCUACGGUACUGUGGAUGAUGCUGAUGAGCUCUUUGCAGCAUUCCUUACCACCGACGCAGAGCCGGGUGAAAAGGCUUCUGCUUAUUUACAUCGUCUACAGUCAAUACUGAGCAAAGUAGUCAAGAGGAAUGGCAUUCCUGCCAGCGACGCAGACCGGCAACUGCUGAAACAGUUCUGCAGGGGAUGUUUCAACAAUAGUUUAAUCACACAUCUUCAGCUGUCCCAACUGCAGAAGGAUGCCCCACCCUCAUUCUCCGAGUUGUUGCUCUUAGUGAGGACGGAGGAAGACAAGCAGGCUGCCAGAUCUCGUCGUAUGAAGCAACAUGUUGGAUUUCACAAAGCUAAAGUGCUGUCUAAUAAUGUGAACGUGUACAAAUCUGAUACAGAUGAGAGGGACGUAGCAGCCGUUGCUGUAAAGUACAACCAUAAUGAGAGUACAAAGAAAAUACAAAAACAACUUGCACAACUUCAAGCCCAGUUGGCAAACCUGAAAGUGUCCAUGGAUGAAUCUUCCACAAAGGCUACCUCCAAGGGAGCUAAGCAAAGAGAAACAAAAGCUGUGGGACGAACAAAGCAAACAGGAUUUAUAAAUCAUGUUCCUGUUGAGGAGCAAACAGGAACAAAGACUAACACAAGCUCCAAACAAAAUGUUUCAAGUUAUUCUCACAGAACCAAGCACCAAUCUAAAAUACCAAAAGGUUUAAUUGGCAACAAAUGCAUCAGUAAUGUGACUGUGUCAGGUGUAAAUUGUAACUGCCUUCUUGACACAGGGUCUCAGGUGACCACAAUUUCAAACUCAUUCUACACAGAGCACUUGUCAGAACAGCCUAUCCAGCCAUUCAAUCUUCUUGAUGUGGAAGGUGCUAAUGGUCAGUCUGUCCCAUAUUUGGGCUAUGUAGAAGUCAGUAUUAGGUUGCCAAAAGAGUUUAUUGAUACUGCACCCGAAGUGAACACUCUAGCAUUAGUUGUCCCUGAUCAACGCUCCAACAGUGACCUUCCUGUUCUAAUAGGGACCAACUUACUUGAUGUAUUAUAUGAUGAAGAGUGCCAAUACAACACUCAAAAGACCACUUCAACUGUUCAUGGCUACAAACAAAUCCUCAGUGCACUUGAAUUUAGACAAAAGCUAAAGAGCACUGGGCAAAUAGGUCUAAUGACACUCAAAGCGAAACCGCAGAAAGUUAUUCCUGCACAUGAUAAAGUCCUUGUGGAAGGCCAGGUCAAUGUCAAUCUUGCAAAUACGGAGAAAUUGGCAGUUCUGGAACAGCCAAGAAAGUCUGUCUUACCUGGUGGCAUUUUCGUUGACUGUUGCCUCGUCACUUUGCCCCAGCAGCCUCAGCACAAGUUGGCUGUUUGGCUGAGAAACGAGACAGACCAUGACAUAACACUACCCACAAACUGUAUUGUCGCAGAACUGCAUGUUCCUGAUAAGAUUGUUGAAAAAAGUCCAUUACCUGACAAGAAUGCAGCUACUGUGAACUGUUGUAGUGCAACAUUUUCUCCAAAUCAGUCCACAAACAACACCCUGACAUUUGACUUCGGCAAUUCUCCUCUACCAGAGGAAUGGAAAACCAGAGUCACAGAGAAACUCAAUGGUUACUCUGAUGUGUUCGCACAUCAUGACCUUGAUUUUGGUCAUGCCACCAAAGUCAAGCAUCGUAUCAAGCUCAAGGACGAGACUCCUUUUAAACAGCGUUCAAGACCCAUACAUCCCAAUGACUAUGAGGCUGUGAGGAAACACCUUAAAACACUGCUAGAAGCUGGUGUGAUACAGGAGUCCGAGUCACCCUACUCGUCACCCAUAGUCGUUGUAAAGAAAAAGAACGGUGAUGUCCGACUUUGUGUCGAUUACCGUAAGUUGAAUACGCAAACCAUAAAGGAUGCUUAUGCACUACCAAACCUCGAAGAAGCAUUCUCCGCCCUCACCGGGUCACAGUGGUUUUCCGUAAUGGACCUCAAGUCCGGAUAUUACCAAAUUGGUAUGGAAGAGAGUGACAAAGCCAAGACUGCUUUUGUCUGUCCCCUGGGGUUUUGGGAGUUCAACCGUAUGCCCCAGGGGAUAACCAAUGCGCCGAGUACAUUUCAGCGCCUAAUGGAGAAAUGCAUGGGUGACAUUAACCUGAAAGAGGUGCUUGUGUUUCUUGAUGAUCUCAUUGUGUUCUCUGCCUCCCUGGAGGAACAUGAGGCCAGGCUUCUGCACGUCCUUCAACGGCUAAGAGAAUAUGGUCUCAAGCUUUCUCCCGAGAAGUGCAGAUUCUUCCAAACGUCUGUACGUUAUCUUGGACACAUCGUCUCAAGAGAUGGUGUCGAGACUGAUCCCGAGAAAGUCAUUGCACUGAAAACGUGGCCAAGGCCACAGACCCUAAAAGAAUUGAAGUCCUUUUUAGGCUUCGCCGGCUAUUAUCGCCGCUUUGUCAAGGACUAUUCUAAAAUAGUGAAGCCCCUAAACAGUCUCACUUCUGGCUAUCCACCUCUCAGAAAAGGCCAGAAGAUGACGACAUGUAAAGGGAAAUAUUUCAAUCCAAAAGAGCCGUUCGCAGAACGAUGGACACCUGCUUGUCAGGACGCUUUUGAAUGCAUCAUAGAGAAGCUCACAUCUUCUCCCAUCCUGGGGUUCGCAGAUGCAAAGCUCCCCUAUACACUGCAUACGGAUGCUAGUACUACUGGUUUAGGAGCUGCUUUAUACCAAGAGCAGGACGGCCAAUCAAGGGUCAUCGCCUAUGCCAGUAGGGGCCUUUCAUCUAGUGAGGCCAGAUAUCCAGCACACAAGCUGGAGUUUCUAGCUUUAAAAUGGGCAAUCCUAGAGAAGUUCCAGGACUAUCUCUAUGGUAACAACUUCACUGUGGUAACGGAUAACAAUCCGUUAACUUACAUACUCACCUCAGCUAAGCUAGAUUCUGCCAGUUAUCGCUGGCUAGCAGCCCUUUCUACGUUCAAUUUCAACAUCAAGUACAGGGCUGGAAAGAGCAAUCAAGAUGCCGAUGGUCUCUCCAGGCGACCGCAUGGAAUGCUGGUUGAGGAUGACGCUUCACUGGAAGAAAGAGAGAGAAUAAAGCGGUUCACCUCACAUCAUCUAUCAUCGUCACCUGACCAUCUAGACUUACCUGAAGAUGCAGUUACAGCCCUUUGUCACCGACACCUGAUAAGAGAAACCGACAACUUACCUUCCAUCACGUUGGUUGAAUCCCUAGCUCUCAACGCCAACGCUGUUCCAGACAUCUACAGUGAUGAAGAAUUAUUAGGUCAUGUGACAGUACCCAUCUUCAGUGAGGAUGACCUCCGAGAACGUCAGGAAGCUGAUCCUGCCAUCAAACAUGUUAUUCAUCUGUUGGAAUCUGGAGGCCCAGUACCUCGGAACAUUGGUCCUAAUUCUCCUGAACUCACACUGAUGCUCAAGGAGUGGAAGCGCCUUGAGAUGAGAGACGGUCUCCUGUACAGGAAGCGGAAAUGUGAAGAGGAAACGAUCUAUCAACUCGUUCUUCCAGAGUCCCUCAGAGUCACUGUACUCAAGUGUCUCCAUGAUGACAUGGGACACAUGGGCAUAGACCGUACCAUUGACUUAGUACGGUCAAGAUUCUACUGGCCACGAAUGGCUGCGGAUGUUGAGCACAAGGUCAAAACCUGUGGCCGUUGUGUUAGGAGGAAGACUCCGCCUGAGAAAGCAGCACCGCUGGUCAGUAUCCAGACAAAUAGGCCAAUGCAAUUAGUCUGCAUGGACUACCUAUCACUGGAGCCUGAUUCCCACAAUACUAAGGACAUUCUGGUCAUCACAGACCACUUUACAAAAUAUGCAGUAGCCAUACCCACGAAAGAUCAAAAAGCUACUACUGUUGCAAAGUGUCUGUGGGAGCAGUUCCUGGUUCACUACGGCUUUCCUGAACGCUUGCACAGUGAUCAGGGAAGAGAUUUCGAAUCCCACACUAUUAAAGAACUGUGUGCCAUAGCCGGUAUCAAGAAAGUGAGAACCAGUCCUUAUCACCCGAGGGGAAACCCGGUUGAGCGGUUCAACCGCACGCUUCUUGGCAUGUUGGGUACUCUGAAAGAAAAAGAGAAGAGUCACUGGCGUGAUUUCGUUAAACCACUCACACAUGCCUACAACUGUACCAGAAGCGAGGUCACCGGGUUCAGUCCCUAUGAGUUAAUGUUUGGGAGACAACCCAGGCUUCCAGUCGAUAUUGCAUUCAACCUACCCGUAAGGGAAGGAACACCAGUAUCUCACUCCCAAUAUGUGCGAAAUCUCAAGUCUCGACUGGAGGAGAGUUAUCAAACAGCCAUUGAAAACUCCCAGAAGGUUGCUGAGAGGAAUAAGCAGCAGUGGAAUAAACGAGUCAGAGAGUCUGCACUUGAAGUGGGAGAUAGAGUACUGGUGAGAAAUGUCCGUCUGAGGAACAAACACAAACUCGCUGACAAGUGGGAGUCCGCUGUGUACAGUGUCUUACAACAGAUGGGCGACUUACCUGUUUACAAGGUUCAGCCAGUAGAUGAAGAUGGUCCAGUCCGCACUUUACACAGGGAUCUUCUGCUGCCAUGCGGGCAAUUGGUUGAAGUCGAGGAUGAGGAACCCAAUCAGCCAAGGCCGAUUCGUCGUCCCAGGACAAGACAAUGUUCUCCUCAGGUCCAAGAAGAGGAAAGUUCUGAGUCUGAAGAGGAGUACACAGUCCUUCCCGAGGAAACCUCAGCUCUCACUGAGAAGAGAUUUACAAAGGUCUAUGACAUCCCUAAACAGCUGGUUGUAGCUGACAAUCCUCCCACAGAAAAGGAAGUGGGCGAGACACUACAAACCCAAUCACAAGUGGAGUCCUCUGCUGGUAAUGAGCCUGCGUUGCGAGUUGAAAAAGAAAAGGAAUUUCCUGAAGUGGUUGGAGAUCACCAGUUGGAGAGUAAUGAAAAUGGAAAACCGGGAAAUGACACUGAAAUUCCAGAAGCUCAAGAUACUCAAGGCGAGGGAACCGACUUACCUGAUGACUGUGGGGAAGGCAAUAUGGUACGCCGAUCUAUAAGGUCACGGCGGCCACCAGACCGAUUGAACUACCCACUGUUGGGUAAACCCUUCAUCUCUUUUGCUCAAAGUCUUUUAGACAGUUUCAAUCACGCACUCAUUUCCUUAGGUGACUACGACAGUCAUGAGGUUAUAGCAAUUUGAGUCAAGAUGUUAUAGCACAUGAAGGGACUCAUGCUGACUUAAGGGGGGAGUGUGUAACCCAUAUGGAAAUAUAGUGUCACUAAUAUAUUCUCCUAUUAUUCAUUUCUAAUCUAUGGUGUGCCAAAGUCACUUUGGUCACUUAAAAAAUGUUAAACUUGAUGUGUCAAAGUCAUGUGGUCACUACAGGGUUAAAUUAAUGAUACAUGCACGCAGCACGUUAUUCACAUGUUGGCCAGUAGAGGUCGCACGCACCUUUCUCAUUCCAGACAUUCCUUCACUGAACGUCAAAGAGUGAAGGCACGAGUCAUAUCGUUGUGUUACAAAGACAAGGUUUAUAAGUUAAAAUACUUGUCACUCCUCAAACCGAGUGUUGGAAAAGCAGCAUAAGAUAGCCUGGUUCCAGUGGGAGCUGGAUUGCUGUGUUUUGUGCUGCUGAGAACUUCAAUUGGUUUUUGUAUGAUCCUGAAGUCUGGUUCCAAACUGGACUUGAGUUAUGAUGGCGAGCCAGUCCCAGUGAGUGAGAGUCUGCGGAGAGGGAGCGUGUGGAUGUGGUGUGGCCAGCUGCAUCGGUCUCCACACUCUGCAGCGACCUAUAACUGAACUGAUCCACCAUCAGAGUCGCAAGUAUCGAACCGAAUCAGUAUGGAAUAACGGAUUACAAUAGAACUAAGGAUUCCCAACCAAGGAAUAUAGACAGUGUUCAAUUCAUUACUACCCGGGUAGAAUUUACUUUUUCAAAGGACAAUUUAAAAAGGACAUUUCUUCUAUUUUGCUACUUUUGAAUUUUUGCAACAGAGCUCUAUUUUUAUUUAUUUUUGGGGGGUAUUUACAAUUUAAAAAGCACACUGUUCAUGUGUUAUUGUUUAUUAUUGUGCAAUAAAUUUGCCAGCAGUUGUUCUGUGGUCCACUAAGUACGUAACGUCUCAUUGCGAGUCUCUCAAUUAUACAGCCAAGAACCUAGUAAUCUUAAUUGUUGUACUAACCUGCUAUCC